UGGAGAAUGCUGUCAACUGGAUCAUAUAGCCUACCGAAUGACGGAGAACGCUGUACCCUGGAUCCUAUAUCCUGCUGAGUGACAGAGAAUGCUGUACCUUAGAUCCUAUAGCCUUCCAAAUGACGAAGAAUGCUGUACCCUGGAUCCUAUAUCCUGCCGAAUGAGGGAGAAUGCUGUAGCCUGGAUCCUAUAUCAUGCUGAAUUACAG
This is a non-coding RNA of Pelobates cultripes (western spadefoot toad), 208 nucleotides long. The record is from the annotation of a GenBank genome assembly. Lineage: Eukaryota; Metazoa; Chordata; Amphibia; Anura; Pelobatidae.